GGGGGGGGACGACACACACGCGUUUUUCCCAGCCAGCCCCGUUCCCCUCGGUUCCCCCCUCCCCGGUGCCUCCCGCAGCCGGCUCAGCGCCCGGCCCGCCCGUGCAUCGCGGGAGCGCCUUGACAGCACUUGCGCCCGCGGCCAGGACAGCGCGGGGACUCGGAGCCGGGGAGCAGAACAAGGGCAUGGGAACUGCAUCUGUGCACGCUGGCAUCCUUGUCCGUUCCUCACGUGGUAUUUGGUAUUUGGAGCCUGCAGCACAGCACCUUUGCCAGGCACACUGACUGUCAGUGCUUGGGGCUUUGGGGGAGCCCACAAGGGACCUGCAGAGAUUUUGACAAGUCUUACAUGUUUUCUGCUCCAUUCUUUGGGUCAAGAACACGCUGGUUAAUAGCCAAUUAUUUCAUACCCUAAGGAAGUUUUGGGAAAGAAGUUCCUGAGAAGACAACUUGUUUUAGGAAAUCGGGCUAAUAUUCAGUAGAAAGCCAAUGUGCCACAGCCAUGUUCCACUUAUGCCCUCCAAGCUACAUUUAAGUGGCCUUCUGUUGCCCUUGAGGUGUGUUUUACACAGGAAGCUUAAAGCCUUAUGCAGGCCUACAGCUUACUCACUGGAGCGAGGGAAAGAUGGCUUUUCCUCUCUUCUGGUCUCUUCAGGAAGAAAAUCAAAUAAUUGGAUUACUGGCCCUUCAAUUGUGCUCAGCACAGAUGGUUCAAAAUCCCAUUGUAUUGGACCUCUGAGAUGAAAUGUAAUUGAUAAAGGAAACAAAUGUAUUAAAUUGGUCUAAUAUGUCAAUAGUAUGCUAUUAUCUGAUUAAGGAAUGGCUAUGACUGGUCUUCCGAACAGCCAAAUAUAUGUAAGCGGUCUGCUGCUGCUAGACUGGCCACAUGAACAAAACAAAUAAAACAAGAAAGGCCCACCCACAGGAGCCUACUAGAGGCACGAAUUACUGCAGAUUAUCCUUUCUUGCUUAUUUUUAUCUCUGAAAUAGAAAAUCAAAGCAAACAGAUCAAUCCAUUGCAGGGUUAAAAUUAAAAUUACUGAAGAAUCUACGCAUCAUAUGAAAUAUUUGGCCUGAUAGAGUAGAACCUGAAUGUUUUGUUCUACUUAUACAUUCAUGUGCAUUGACUUGAACUUUGAGUUUCCCACUCUGUUGUUUUUUGUUACUUGCACAUAUAUUUUAUGUAUUUAUUUAGGACUAAAUUCUAUUUGUUGCACUGUGGUUUUAAAACAUAGUAUCAGCUAAGACUGGGAGGAGCAUCCUAACAGAUUUUAGACUACUUUAUUAUUGUCAUUAUUCUGCAUAUUCACAUGUGCAUAUAAUGAUCCAAAAUAUUUUGAGGCAAAUCAUUCAAUUGUGCAAAAUAAAUAGGUCCAUGUGAAAGUGUAACUGAGGUAAAUCCCUGUUGUUUACACAGUGGAGAAAACUGUGAAGAAAACAGCCAAGGGUUUGAUUCUUACAUUUUAUGUUAGACUGUUUUCUCGUCAUGUUUCUUGUUAAAAUCAUUAUCUUACUGUCCUUUUGUAUUUAUAUGCCUACAGAGCAAUAAACAGCUAGUGAAAUGAGGCUG
Long non-coding RNA from Strigops habroptila (Kakapo), 1569 nucleotides. NCBI's taxonomy places the organism in Eukaryota, Metazoa, Chordata, Aves, Psittaciformes, Psittacidae. The record is from Ensembl.